UACGUAGGGGGCUAGCGUUGUCCGGAAUCAUUGGGCGUAAAGAGCGUGUAGGCGGCCCGGUAAGUCCGCUGUGAAAGUCGGGGGCUCAACCCUCGAAUGCCGGUGGAUACUGCCGGACUAGAGUUCGGAAGAGGCGAGUGGAAUUCCCGGUGUAGCGGUGAAAUGCGCAGAUAUCGGGAGGAACACCAAUGGCGAAGGCAGCUCGCUGGGACGUUACUGACGCUGAGACGCGAAAGCGUGGGGAGCAAACAGG
RNAcentral lists this ribosomal RNA (253 nucleotides) under uncultured bacterium. RNAcentral describes it as "partial 16S ribosomal RNA". It matches the Rfam family "Bacterial small subunit ribosomal RNA", at positions 524 to 776 of the family's 1533-position model. The record is from RNAcentral.